GGCUUUAUAGUCUAUAUUAUGAUUCUAGAUUGCAAGUCUAGAGGUGCUAUUAAGCUAAAGCUU
RNAcentral lists this transfer RNA (63 nucleotides) under Neuroctenus parus. Its description in RNAcentral is "tRNA-Cys". Lineage: Eukaryota; Metazoa; Arthropoda; Insecta; Hemiptera; Aradidae. The record is from RNAcentral.